AUCAUCCUAUCGCUCUUACGUGAAAACAGUUUCAUUUCGACCGUGUUCACUUCAUGAUUCAUUUUGUGUUGUGAUCAAUUCAAAGAUGGCGUCGGUUGUAAAUAAACUUUAAGAGUUUUUCUCAUACUAAUUUGAAUUCUAUUAUCAAAUCAAUCAUUGGACUAUUUUUCUGGAAGGCGUCAAACGGGACAUCACAUAGAGUUUGCAAUGUGAAUCAGAUUUGCGCACGGUUCCGGAAGAGACGGUGCUGUUCAAAUUGUUCUUCUUUUAGUGAAAAUUGAGCGAGCAUCGUCUGCGACCACUUGGCGGAAGAUUCGAGCCCGAAUUCUAUUAGAACCAUGCGAUUUCAUUAACAACUUAAAUUAAACUGUGUCGGUAUCUAAUGUUGAAUAAAUACAAUAAAUACAGGUUGAACAAAAGUAAUUAUUUAUUUUGUACCAUUAA
Long non-coding RNA from Aedes aegypti (yellow fever mosquito), 444 nucleotides. RefSeq lists it as uncharacterized. The record is from RefSeq and is a predicted model, not a curated record. NCBI's taxonomy places the organism in Eukaryota, Metazoa, Arthropoda, Insecta, Diptera, Culicidae. The transcript is spliced from 3 exons.